CGCAGAUCAUCUGGGGCGGACCUAUAAGAUGUCAAGUGUGUACGCCCCAACAACCCACAGAUGCGGCUCGACGCUCUCCAUCUGCAUGUCUCUUUAAUUAUCUAUAUAUAUAUGGAUAGACGACAACCUUCUAUCUAUGAAUUAUAUGUCAUGUCUCUUUAAUUAUCUCUAUAUCAAUGUCUACCUAUGUGAUAUAAGAUACCGUAGCAACGCACGUGCACCUAAUUAGUGAAUUUGGAAGUGUGACUUUAUAAAAACAAAUGAGUUAUAUGUUCAAGAUAAUGUUAGUAGUCAUACUAUUUAAAGUCCUUUUACUUUCUUAUUUGGAUGAGUCUUUUUUCACAUAUCUUCCUUCUUAAUGUACCAUUCAUGGUUCUAUUGAUAGCUCAAGGUCAUGAGAAUGUUGCCGCUGAGUACUACAAACAGCAGGUGGAGAUGUUAGAGGGUUUUAGUGAGAUGGACGCAUUUACAGAUCGUGCUUUCCUACCUGUAAUGUCCAAGUGACGACACCAAUAGAUAUCUGGCCACUUUAUUGACCUGCAGGAAGAACACGAAAAAGUUGUCAGGAGUGAAUCAUUAGCCAUAUGGCUGUCUAAUAUUGCAAAUAUGGUUCUCUUUGCUGCAAAAGUGUAUGCUUCAGUAAGGAGUGGUUCACUUGCUAUUAUCGCAUCAACUUUGGAUUCUCUUCUAGACUUGUUGUCAUGAUAUAUCUUGUGGUUUACUGCCUUUUCAAUGCAAACGCCAAAUCCCUAUAGAAACUCAAUUGGAAAAGCGUAUGCAGCCGCUGGUGAGUUCUUUUUUGCCAUAACCUGUACUUCCAAAAAUGAUGGUUGAUGUUGAUAUCUAGAUCUGUUGUCCAGAAUGUUCUGUACUCUUUUCUGCGAAAAUGAUUUACUUAUCUUUUACGUAAUCUGAAUUAUUGUCUCUGCAUUUUGAAUAGAAUGAGCAUUGCUUUCCAUGUUUCUUUCUGAGGCAAACAAUAAAGAUCUGAAUUGAUAGGAAAUCAAUAAACUUACUCAACACUGUGUGCUCACUACUCAGUAAUUCCUACUUACUGGAAUAUAAAUUACCUGUCUAUAAAUACUAAUUGUUGAGUUCACGAUUGAAGUCAUAGAACCAUGGACCCUUUUUAUCCAGUCACCUCUGUUUGAAUUUUCUUUAAGUUAAUGAUGAACUUGUUAUGACUUCCAAUCUGACAUUUGCUUUUGAGAUGCGUUGUCACUUGUUGGGGCAACUUCCAUGUGUCAAA
Molecule: long non-coding RNA, 1249 nt
Organism: Zea mays
Lineage: Eukaryota; Viridiplantae; Streptophyta; Magnoliopsida; Poales; Poaceae
Exons: 2
Source: RefSeq, a predicted model, not a curated record